This 579-nucleotide ribosomal RNA is filed under the name uncultured bacterium. RNAcentral describes it as "bacterial SSU rRNA". It matches the Rfam family "Bacterial small subunit ribosomal RNA", at positions 338 to 916 of the family's 1533-position model. The record is from RNAcentral.
CCUACGGGAGGCAGCAGUAAGGAAUAUUGGUCAAUGGAGGCAACUCUGAACCAGCCAUGCCGCGUGCAGGAUGACGGCCCUAUGGGUUGUAAACUGCUUUUAUACAAGAGAAAACCCUGGUACGUGUACCAGGUUGAUAGUAUUGUAAGAAUAAGCAUCGGCUAACUUCGUGCCAGCAGCCGCGGUAAGACGAAGGAUGCAAGCGUUAUCCGGAUUCAUUGGGUUUAAAGGGUGCGUAGGCGGACUGAUAAGUCAGUGGUGAAAUCUCUUUGCUUAACAAAGAAACUGCCAUUGAUACUGUCGGUCUAGAGUAUAGAUGACGUUGGCGGAAUAUGACAUGUAGUGGUGAAAUACUUAGAUAUGUCAUAGAACACCGAUUGCGAAGGCAGCUAACGAAACUAUAACUGACGCUGAGGCACGAAAGUGCGGGGAUCAAACAGGAUUAGAUACCCUGGUAGUCCGCACCGUAAACGAUGAUUACUCGUUGUUGGCGAUAUGACAGUCAGCGACCAAGCGAAAGCGAUAAGUAAUCCACCUGGGGAGUACGCCGGCAACGGUGAAACUCAAAGGAAUUGACGG